AUGCACGCUGGCUACAGGCUUCACACAUGCAAGUCGCGGGGAAACGACGGGGAAGCUUGCUUCCCCGGGCGUCGACCGGCGCACGGGUGAGUAACGCGUAUCCAACCUGCCUCUGACUGAGGGAUAACCCGUCGAAAGUCGGCCUAAUACCUCAUGGCAUCGUCUGCGGGCAUCCAACGACGAUUAAAGAUUUCAUCGGUCAGAGAUGGGGAUGCGUCUGAUUAGCUUGUUGGCGGGGUAACGGCCCACCAAGGCGACGAUCAGUAGGGGUUCUGAGAGGAAGGUCCCCCACAUUGGAACUGAGACACGGUCCAAACUCCUACGGGAGGCAGCAGUGAGGAAUAUUGGUCAAUGGGCGAGAGCCUGAACCAGCCAAGUAGCGUGCAGGAUGACGGCCCUAUGGGUUGUAAACUGCUUUUAUGCGGGGAUAAAGUGAGGGACGUGUCCUUCAUUGCAGGUACCGCAUGAAUAAGGACCGGCUAAUUCCGUG
RNAcentral lists this ribosomal RNA (490 nucleotides) under uncultured bacterium. Its description in RNAcentral is "partial 16S ribosomal RNA". It matches the Rfam family "Bacterial small subunit ribosomal RNA", at positions 29 to 507 of the family's 1533-position model. The record is from RNAcentral.